This 481-nucleotide ribosomal RNA is filed under the name uncultured bacterium. RNAcentral's name for it is "partial 16S ribosomal RNA". It matches the Rfam family "Bacterial small subunit ribosomal RNA", at positions 28 to 507 of the family's 1533-position model. The record is from RNAcentral.
GAUGAACGCUGGCGGCGUGCUUAACACAUGCAAGUCGAACGAAGCAUUUAGGACAGAUUACUUCGGUUUGAAGUUCUUUAUGACUGAGUGGCGGACGGGUGAGUAACGCGUGGGUAACCUGCCUUGUACUGGGGGAUAGCAGCUGGAAACGGCUGGUAAUACCGCAUAAGCGCACAAUGUUGCAUGACAUGGUGUGAAAAACUCCGGUGGUAUAAGAUGGACCCGCGUCUGAUUAGCUAGUUGGUGAGAUAACAGCCCACCAAGGCGACGAUCAGUAGUCGACCUGAGAGGGUGACCGGCCACAUUGGGACUGAGACACGGCCCAGACUCCUACGGGAGUCAGCAGUGGGGAAUAUUGCACAAUGGAGGAAACUCUGAUGCAGCGACGCCGCGUGAGUGAAGAAGUAAUUCGUUAUGUAAAGCUCUAUCAGCAGGGAAGAUAGUGACGGUACCUGACGAAGAAGCUCCGGCUAAAUACGUG